Molecule: ribosomal RNA, 498 nt
Filed under: uncultured bacterium
Lineage: Bacteria
Description: partial 16S ribosomal RNA
Rfam family: Bacterial small subunit ribosomal RNA
Source: RNAcentral
AUUGAACGCUGGCGGCAUGCCUUACACAUGCAAGUCGAACGGUAACAGGUCUACGGAUGCUGACGAGUGGCGAACGGGUGAGUAAUACAUCGGAACGUGCCCGAGAGUGGGGGAUAACGAGGCGAAAGCUUUGCUAAUACCGCAUACGAUCUCAGGAUGAAAGCUGGGGACCGCAAGGCCUUGCGCUCACGGAGCGGCCGAUGGCAGAUUAGGUAGUUGGCGGGAUAAAAGCUUACCAAGCCGACGAUCUGUAGCUGGUCUGAGAGGACGACCAGCCACACUGGGACUGAGACAAGGCCCAGACUCCUACGGGAGGCAGCAGUGGGGAAUUUUGGACAAUGGGCGCAAGCCUGAUCCAGCCAUGCCGCGUGCAGGAUGAAGGCCUUCGGGUUGUAAACUGCUUUUGUACGGAACGAAAAGACUCUGGUUAAUACCUGGGGUCCAUGACGGUACCGUAAGAAUAAGCACCGGCUAACUACGUGCCAGCCGCCGCCGUAA